AGUGAACGCUGGCGGUAGGCCUAACACAUGCAAGUCGAACGGCAGCACAGUAAGAGCUUGCUCUUACGGGUGGCGAGUGGCGGACGGGUGAGGAAUACAUCGGAAUCUACUUUUUCGUGGGGGAUAACGUAGGGAAACUUACGCUAAUACCGCAUACGACCUACGGGUGAAAGCAGGGGAUCUUCGGACCUUGCGCGAUUGAAUGAGCCGAUGUCGGAUUAGCUAGUUGGCGGGGUAAAGGCCCACCAAGGCGACGAUCCGUAGCUGGUCUGAGAGGAUGAUCCGCCACACUGGAACUGAGACACGGUCCAGACUCCUACGGGAGGCAGCAGUGGAGAAUAUUGGACAAUGGGCGCAAGCCUGAUCCAGCCAUACCGCGUGGGUGAAGAAGGCCUUCUGGUUGUAAAGCCCUUUUGUUGGGAAAGAAAAGCAGCAGGUUAAUACCCCGCUGUUCUGACGGUACCCAAAGAACAAGCACCGGCUAACUUCGUG
RNAcentral lists this ribosomal RNA (492 nucleotides) under uncultured bacterium. RNAcentral's name for it is "partial 16S ribosomal RNA". It matches the Rfam family "Bacterial small subunit ribosomal RNA", at positions 29 to 507 of the family's 1533-position model. The record is from RNAcentral.